CUUAAUUAAUUUAUUUUGUUUGUAACUUUAUGGUACCUCCAAGCAUAAGUCUAUACAUGUUUUGACAGUUUAAAAAAAGUAAAUAGUUAAUAUCCAAUGCAUGAUUGCAGGAGGUUGUUACAGUGUUGCUUCAAAAUGGUGCUGAUGUGUCAGUGCUGAACCCUGAGGGUCACACUGCGAAAUCAUUGACACAUAACCCGGAAAUAAUACAACUCAUUGAAGCCGCAGAAGUCCAUGAAACCAGUCGUGUCGAAGAGGAGAUAAUGUCGUCUGUCAGGCAUGGGGAAGUGGAGAAAAUAAAAGAUUUAGUCAGCAGCGGCAAGGUGAACAGUGUAGGGUGCCUGGACAGUUUUGGUAACUCUGCACUACACAUAGCAGCCCAGUUUGGUCAGAAAGACGUCGCAGUGUUCCUGCUCCAACAGGUUAUUGA
This is a long non-coding RNA of Dreissena polymorpha, 430 nucleotides long. RefSeq lists it as uncharacterized. The transcript is spliced from 3 exons. Lineage: Eukaryota; Metazoa; Mollusca; Bivalvia; Myida; Dreissenidae. The record is from RefSeq and is a predicted model, not a curated record.